CCAGUAGCGAAAAAAAAUAGAAGUGUCUUUGGUGAACAGGAAGUGUCUGCAGUCUCCAUCUUGGAGCUUUCUUCUGUCAGGUUUGCUUCUCUAC
Molecule: long non-coding RNA, 94 nt
Organism: Etheostoma cragini (Arkansas darter)
Lineage: Eukaryota; Metazoa; Chordata; Actinopteri; Perciformes; Percidae
Exons: 3
Source: RefSeq, a predicted model, not a curated record